UAGCAUGAAUAAAGUUACCUAUUUUUCCAUGAAAAGAGAGGUCAUUCAAUGGCCAUGAGAACAAUGGAGUUCAGAAAAUGGUAGCAAAACAUACAGAGUGACUUACACGACUGAAAUGAGAAGCAAUUGAUUAGGGAUCUUCUAACUGUACUCCAGCAUUAAACACCUGGAUAAAUUAAUACCUCAAGCAAACAUAAUGUGGCAGAUUCUUAGCAAUAUGUCCUGCAAACAAGCAUUAUUCAUAUCAUUGAGCUGAAGUAAAUGGUACUGUUUAGGAAGGCUGAUCCCAAAUCUAGCACCAAUGUCUGUCAACCAAAAACACUAACCACUCUACAAAACUUUGACGAUGGGCAACUAC
Molecule: long non-coding RNA, 358 nt
Filed under: Zea mays
Lineage: Eukaryota; Viridiplantae; Streptophyta; Magnoliopsida; Poales; Poaceae
Description: long non-coding RNA (ZMAY_LNC002583)
Source: RNAcentral